RNAcentral lists this non-coding RNA (950 nucleotides) under Cryptosporidium parvum. The record is from RNAcentral. Lineage: Eukaryota; Apicomplexa; Conoidasida; Eucoccidiorida; Cryptosporidiidae.
AAAGAUUUCAAUCUACCAUUCAGUCAUAUAAACUAUUACUUAAUCAUCUAAAACGUAUUGAAGUUCUUUUAUUAGUUAGAUAUUUUGAUCAAUUCUAUUUUUGAUAAUUAUAAUUUGAGCACGUUUUGGAUUAAAAUAAAUAAUAAGAGCAUAGACUAUUGCUAUAAACAGACAAAUUACAGCUGCCAAGUAUUGCUCUCCUCCAAACACUGAUAAAUUCAUAAAUAAUACAUACUUUUCAGCCCCCCACGCAUUGUUUGGGAAUAAAUUUGAAAUAAAAUGAAGUUCAUACGAGCCGGGAUACAAAAUCAUAUCUUCCAUACUGCUAUAUUCAUAUGAAGAGCUAAUUAUACCAUAUGGCUUAAUGAAGUUUGGAGAAAUACUUUGGCUCCACCAUCUUGACAACAUCAUAGAUAAUUUUGGAAUCUUGUCAUUUGAUUUUUUCUCAUAUCUAUGUGACUGAUUUAAGAAUUUGCUAUUAAUUGCUCCAGAAAUAAAUUGCCUAAAACUGUGGAGCAUUUUAUACUUCCAUUGAUCUUCUGGAAAAUCGAUGGCCCUGAUUUGUAUUUUUUCCUUACUUGAGCCUUUUUUUGUUAACUCGAAUUCAUCUGUAAAGAGAGAAUAAAUUGGAAGUCCGCAUAGAAUAUUUCUAUUAAUAGAAUUAUUUUUUUUACUCAUUUUGAAAAUUCUUGAUUUUUUAUUAUUGGAAAAAAUACUGUCAAUUUGAGUGAAGUUGAAAUUAAUGGGUACUCUAAAAAACUCUGCAAGAUGAAUCCUAAAAUCGGGUCUAUACCUUAAAAUAUCAUCAAUGGAUAGUAUAUGGGUGCACUUGUAGCCAUACCCAAAUAUUUCAGGAGGUUUAGAACCCACAAAUUCUUUAGUGUUGCUAAAAAACCCAUUAAUCCCGUAAAAUACAAAAAUCGGUUCUUGUAAAGUACGGUCAACAGUAA